This 810-nucleotide long non-coding RNA is filed under the name Ananas comosus (pineapple). RNAcentral's name for it is "long non-coding RNA (ACOM_LNC044790)". The record is from RNAcentral. Lineage: Eukaryota; Viridiplantae; Streptophyta; Magnoliopsida; Poales; Bromeliaceae.
CUUAAACCAAAGGGCCUCUUAAUAUUAUCCAAAAGAUUGAUCUAGUAUAAAACAGACUCAGAAAUAUAUAUGAACAUUCUCACUCACAUGCACGAUAAAUAUGAACGACACGUAAAAUGAUAGGCAAGGUAGAAUCAGUUAAACAUUAAAGGUGAGAAUUGAAUCAAUGAUCUUACAGAACGAAUAGUUUUAGAAUUAGCUCUAAAACUAUAUUAUCCAAAAAAUUAAUUCACUACAACAAAAACGGUCUAUAGCGACACUUUUAAAUGUAGGUACAUGUCAAAAAAGUGCUGCUAGCUAAAAUUACCGACACUUUUAAAAAGUGUUGCUAUAUGUGGGGUCGCUAGGUAUAUAGUGACAGUUAAAGAGUGUCGCUAUAACCUAAAAGAGUGCUGCUAAUUUACCAACAACUUAUUUAAGCAUUUAGCAACCACCGAAACUCUAUCUCGUUGGUUGCGGUGGCGGAGGAGGACGACAUGAAUGGCUCUUCGUCUAGAAUUUCAGUGGAUUGAGUGAAGAGAGAAGAAAAUAUGUUAAUUGAUUUUUCUUUUUUUUUUUCUUUUCUAUUUGUAAUCGGGCCAAAUGGACUGGGUGUGGUGGGUUGAGUAGAGUAAUCUUUUAUUUUUGGUUGGAUUAGGCUUUAUAUUUAGGCAUUAGUAGAUGUUUCUUUAAGUUUUAGCAUAAAUGGGAUACUUACUCAAAAGUGUCCCAAACAUGUGUCCCUAUAACCUAAUUCUGUUGUAGUGAUUUAGUAAUAAACAGGGUCAGAAAUAUAUAUUGAAAACUGAUAAGCUACAUAGGAUAUUAUUA